This 482-nucleotide long non-coding RNA is filed under the name Physcomitrium patens. RNAcentral describes it as "long non-coding RNA (PPAT_LNC012382)". Lineage: Eukaryota; Viridiplantae; Streptophyta; Bryopsida; Funariales; Funariaceae. The record is from RNAcentral.
UUUGAAGGCUAGGGUCAGAAGGUUUAGGUUUUUGGUUAAGGUUUUGGUGCAAGUUUUGUGUCAUUUGGGGUUUUUAUGAAUAAGUUAUAGGCGCUCAAAGUUAAGGUGUUAGUUUUGGACCUACUGUCACUCUUUUGGGCAUAACGCACGCGUACGGACGGCAAUUGAGGAUCGGCGACCGCGACUAAAGAGAGCUCUUUUGCGGCUAUACUUUCCAUAUCCUGUUUACUGGAUUUCAAGUUAUGAUGAAGGAGUUAUUGGAUUUUGAAGUCAGCACAUGCAAUUUAAGGAUAGUAAGUAAACCGAUUUACUAGUGUUUGUCUCUUGAGCUAUAUCUUGAGCAAUUUUGUGAGGUUUUGGCUCAAAAUUUCAAGGAAUGUGUAACUUCAUGUUAGAAAACUUUAUGCAUAAGUUUUAUGACAUUUGGAGUUCGGGUUUUUGAGAUAUAAGGAAAAUAGUUUUUGGGUGCUUAUAAAUUAGGG